AACGAACGCUGGCGGCAGGCUUAACGCAUGCAAGUCGAGCGCCCAGCAAUGGGAGCGGCGCACGGGUGAGUAACACGUGGGAACGUGCCCUUUGGUUCGGAAUAACGUAGGGAAACUUGCGCUAAUACCGGAUAAGCCCUUACGGGGAAAGAUUUAUCGCCAUUGGAGCGGCCCGCGUUGGAUUAGCUAGUUGGUGGGGUAAAACCUACCAAGGCAACGAUCCAUAGCUGGUCUGAGAGGACGACCAGCCACACUGGGACUGAGACACGGCCCAGACUCCUACGGGAGGCAGCAGUGGGGAAUCUUGCACAAUGGGCGAAAGCCUGAUGCAGCGACGCCGCGUGCGGGAUGACGGCC
RNAcentral lists this ribosomal RNA (357 nucleotides) under uncultured bacterium. RNAcentral's name for it is "bacterial SSU rRNA". It matches the Rfam family "Bacterial small subunit ribosomal RNA", at positions 29 to 416 of the family's 1533-position model. The record is from RNAcentral.